GACGAACGCUGGCGGCGUGCUUAACACAUGCAAGUCGAACGGAAAGGCCCUGCUUUUGUGGGGUGCUCGAGUGGCGAACGGGUGAGUAACACGUGAGUAACCUGCCCUUGACUUUGGGAUAACUUCAGGAAACUGGGGCUAAUACCGGAUAGGAGCUCCUGCUGCAUGGUGGGGGUUGGAAAGUUUCGGCGGUUGGGGAUGGACUCGCGGCUUAUCAGCUUGUUGGUGGGGUAGUGGCUUACCAAGGCUUUGACGGGUAGCCGGCCUGAGAGGGUGACCGGCCACAUGGGGAAUGGGAAACGGCCAGGACGCUUACGGGAGGCAGCAGGGGGGAAUAUUGCACAAUGGGCGGAAGCCUGAUGCAGAAAGGCCGCGUGCGGGAUGACGGCCUUCGGGUGUAAACCGCUUUCGCCUGUGACGAAGCGUGAGUGACGGUAAUGGGUAAAGAAGCACCGGCUAACUACGUG
This 467-nucleotide ribosomal RNA is filed under the name uncultured bacterium. RNAcentral's name for it is "partial 16S ribosomal RNA". It matches the Rfam family "Bacterial small subunit ribosomal RNA", at positions 28 to 507 of the family's 1533-position model. The record is from RNAcentral.